Molecule: non-coding RNA, 71 nt
Organism: Danionella cerebrum
Lineage: Eukaryota; Metazoa; Chordata; Actinopteri; Cypriniformes; Danionidae
Source: the annotation of a GenBank genome assembly
AGCUCGUUGGUCUAAAGGUAUGAUUCUCGCUCAGGGUGCGAGAGGUCCCAGGUUUAAAUCCCAACGAUCCC